GUUCGGUUCAGUGAAGUUGAACGUGAUGAUUUACGAUGAAGAUCUGAGGCGAAGUUGACGAUGACAUGAGGUUGAAUCGGAGAUGAUGAUGAACGGUGACGUUGUUGUGCCUCUGAACUCGACGACAAAGAACAAUCGAAGAAUCGUUUCAAGAACUCAGGUGAUGUUGUCUUUCCUCUUCUGAAUUCAUCUGCAUCCUUCUGAAAUCAACUCCGUUGCGAUGAUGUCAAAUCCCUUAUUACUGUUGUUGCGAGCGAUAUUGAAGUUUGAAGUGCAGAGAUAAUGAAGAUGAUGAAGCGCGAUUGGUGAAGACGAUAUUGUUGCAUUGGAAGAGAGAUCGAUGGAGGAGAUUGAAGAUGAAACUUCUGAGUUUUCUGGUGAGGAUUGAAUGAAGAUGAGGAUGCGAUGAAGGUGAUGAGAAAGAAGAUUGGAGGUGAUUGAUGAUGAACGAUGAAGAACCAUGAAGCUCCAAGAGUUUGUUACAUUUUGGUUCAAGGUGAGUUAUCUUUUUUCUGUUAUGCUCUUCUUUCAGAUUUUCUCUCUGUUACGUCUGGUCAUUUUCUUCUGCUCUGAAAUUCUGUUAUGACUGUUUGCUCAUUCAAUUGGAGAGCUGAAGAAGAUGAUUAUUCAGGAAGAAGAUUGAGAGAGGUUUGAAGAAUUUUUGUUACAGGGUGUUGCUCAGAGCGAGAGAGAGUCCUCUUCCGUUGAAAGUUUGUUAUGUUUUUUGUUAGAGGCUUUGUGAGUGAAGAGUGUUGACGG
Molecule: long non-coding RNA, 759 nt
Organism: Vicia villosa (hairy vetch)
Lineage: Eukaryota; Viridiplantae; Streptophyta; Magnoliopsida; Fabales; Fabaceae
Exons: 3
Source: RefSeq, a predicted model, not a curated record